AUAUAGGGUCACAAUGAGUUGGAAUCCACUCGAUGGCACACAACAACACUAAAAUAGGACAAGGGUAGAAAACUGGACUGCAUGCGGUUCAGUUCUGCUCUGAAACCGAGCAAGCAACAAGAAGACUUCGUAAAAUGCUGGGAAAACUGGAGAGAACUCGAUUAUGGAGUGUUGGGAAGCUUCCCUGUUACACGUCUCGGAAAGCCACAGGACAAACCCUAAGUUUACGCAAAGUACCUGAGCUCGUCAGAAGAGCGAUUAAACUGCGGAACGCAGGUUCCGGGAGUGCCGUUUUCCCGCCGGAGUCUAGGUCGGCGCUAGCCUUCCCUACUGCGCAAGCGCGGUGUCACUUACUGAGCAUGGAAAUACUGGUUUUCCUGUGUUCGGCUGCGGCAGUCUUGGUAUGGGGCUUUCUCUGGGCUUGGGACGCCUUGGAACGAAUGAAGAGUUGGGAACAAACAGGCCAGCUGAGAGCGGGAAGCCGGACUCUCCUGGUCAUUGCGCACCCCGACGAUGAAGCCAUGUUCUUUGCUCCCACAGUGCUAAGCUUGGCCCGCCUGAGGCACCGAGUGUCCCUGCUCUGCUUCUCCACAGGAAAUUACUACAAUCAAGGAGAGAUUCGUAAGAAAGAACUUUUGCAGAGCUGUGAUGUUUUGGGGAUUCCAUACUCCAGUGUAAUGAUUAUUGACAACAGGGCUUUCCCAGAUGACCCAGGUGUGCAGUGGGACACAGAGCAUGUGGCCAGCGACCUCCUCCAGCACAUAGAAGCUAAUGGCAUCAACCUGGUGGUGACUUUUGAUGCCAGAGGAGUAAGUGGUCACAUCAAUCACAUUACUCUUCAUGCGGCCGUGAGGACCCUGCACUCAGAAGGGAGGUUACCUAAAGGCUGCUCUGUGCUCAUGCUUGAGACUGUGAAUGUGGUACGCAAGUACAUCUCCUUUCUGGAUCUGCCUUUUUCUUGGCUUCAGACCCAGAAUGUCCUCUUCGUGCUUUCCAGCAAAGAGGUGGCACAGGCCAAGAGAGCCAUGUCCUGCCACCGCAGCCAGCUCCUCUGGUUCCGUCACCUCUAUGUUUUCUUCUCCCGGUACAUGAGAAUCAACUCACUGCACUUCCUCUGAAGUCUUGAAGAAUUUUGAGAUCCAAGGAACAAACGAGGAAAGGACCAGGAAACCUGGGGAUCUGCCUUUAUCUCCCUGACGCAAAGAAGGUCACACCUCACUGGGCCUCACGGAGGCUUAAAGGGAGCCAAUCUGAGAGGCAGAGGGUGACCUCUCUACCAUCAAGAAGAAGAGCCAGGAGCAGAGCACAUCUUUUGAACCCAGGGUCCCUGCGCUGAGAAUCUUCGAGACCCAGGGGACAGAGAGAGCUGUAACACUGGAGACAGUGAGAAGCAGUGGCAAGCACAGCAGAGUCCAGUGGCAGCAGAACCAGGAGAGCAGCUCGAGACAGUGAGAUGAGCUUCCUGGCCCAUAGAGUGCAGCGGCUACAGUGGGUGUGCCCAUCCACAGAGUGAGAGAGCUGAGAGCCUCUGGGCAGGAGCCUUCGUGGCAAAAUGGGGUGUCUCCAGGCACUUACUGGCAGAGCUAAAGAA
This is an RNA transcript of Trichechus manatus latirostris (Florida manatee), 1591 nucleotides long. It is a transcript of the gene named phosphatidylinositol glycan anchor biosynthesis class L, with no coding region annotated. The transcript is spliced from 8 exons. Lineage: Eukaryota; Metazoa; Chordata; Mammalia; Sirenia; Trichechidae. The record is from RefSeq and is a predicted model, not a curated record.